UACGAGCGGUGCAAGCGUUAUUCGGAAUUAUUGGGCGUAAAGGGCGCGCAGGCGGGUCAUUAAGUUUGUUGUUAAAUCCUCUGGCUUAACCAGAGACAAGCAAUAAAAACUGGUAACCUAGAGCGUGAGAGAGAGAAGUGGAAUUCCCGGAGUAGCGGUAAAAUGCGUAGAUCUCGGGAGGAACACCAAUGGCGAAGGCUGCUUCUUGGCUCAUUGCUGACGCUGAGGCGCGAAAGCGUGGGGAGCAAACAGG
This 253-nucleotide ribosomal RNA is filed under the name uncultured bacterium. RNAcentral describes it as "partial 16S ribosomal RNA". It matches the Rfam family "Bacterial small subunit ribosomal RNA", at positions 524 to 776 of the family's 1533-position model. The record is from RNAcentral.